RNAcentral lists this ribosomal RNA (254 nucleotides) under uncultured bacterium. RNAcentral describes it as "partial 16S ribosomal RNA". It matches the Rfam family "Bacterial small subunit ribosomal RNA", at positions 524 to 776 of the family's 1533-position model. The record is from RNAcentral.
UACGGGGGGAGCAAGCGUUGUUCGGAUUUACUGGGCGUAAAGGGCGCGUAGGCGGCCACCGCAAGUCAGUUGUGAAAUCUCUGGGCUUAACCCAGAAAGGUCAACUGAUACUGCGGGGCUAGAGUGCAGAAGGGGCAACUGGAAUUCUCGGUGUAGCGGUGAAAUGCGUAGAUAUCGAGAGGAACACCUGCGGCGAAGGCGGGUUGCUGGGCUGACACUGACGCUGAUGCGCGAAAGCUAGGGGAGCGAACGGG